GACGAACGCUGGCGGCGUGCUUAACACAUGCAAGUCGAACGGAAAGGCCCUGCUUUUGUGGGGUGCUCGAGUGGCGAACGGGUGAGUAACACGUGAGUAACCUGCCCUUGACUUUGGGAUAACUUCAGGAAACUGGGGCUAAUACCGGAUAGGAGCUCCUGCUGCAUGGUGGGGGUUGGAAAGUUUCGGCGGUUGGGGAUGGACUCGCGGCUUAUCAGCUUGUUGGUGGGGUAGUGGCUUACCAAGGCUUUGACGGGUAGCCGGCCUGAGAGGGUGACCGGCCACAUUGGGACUGAGAUACGGCCCAGACUCCUACGGGAGGCAGCAGUGGGGAAUAUUGCACAAUGGGCGGAAGCCUGAUGCAGCAACGCCGCGUGUGGGAUGACGGCCUUCGGGUUGUAAACCGCUUUCGCCUGUGACGAAGCGUGAGUGACGGUAAUGGGGAAAGAAGCACCGGCUAACUACGU
Molecule: ribosomal RNA, 467 nt
Filed under: uncultured bacterium
Lineage: Bacteria
Description: partial 16S ribosomal RNA
Rfam family: Bacterial small subunit ribosomal RNA
Source: RNAcentral